Amphimedon queenslandica is the source of this 381-nucleotide long non-coding RNA. RefSeq lists it as uncharacterized. Lineage: Eukaryota; Metazoa; Porifera; Demospongiae; Haplosclerida; Niphatidae. The record is from RefSeq and is a predicted model, not a curated record. The transcript is spliced from 2 exons.
UUUACUCUUUCUUUCUAUAGUGGUCUUAUGGUGUAUUGUGCUGGGAAGUAUUCAGUCUUGGUAGGGUACCUUAUCCUGGUCUAGAUCCAGUAGGAGUAGUGGAGUUACUGGAUGCUGGAGGAAGACUGCAGAAUCCAAAUAAUGAAGCAUGCUCACAAGAAAUUUACUCACUGAUGAUGUCAUGUUGGUCUGAAUCACCUGAUGAUAGGCCAGCGUUCAGUGAUUUGGUAUCAUCAGUCAAUGCACUCAUUGGACCAUUGGCUGACUAUGUAUCUGGACUCCACUAACUUUAAUACAACAUUUCUCUACAUGGACCUUUUAUUUUUUUUUGCAAAAAAUAUACCUUUUCAAUCAGUUUUCUUAUCAACUUCAAUUUUUUAA